AUUGAACGCUGGCGGCAGGCCUAACACAUGCAAGUCGAGCGGAUGAAGGGAGCUUGCUCCUGGAUUCAGCGGCGGACGGGUGAGUAAUGCCUAGGAAUCUGCCUGGUAGUGGGGGAUAACGUCCGGAAACGGGCGCUAAUACCGCAUACGUCCUGAGGGAGAAAGUGGGGGAGCUUCGGACCGCACGCUAUCAGAUGAGCAUAGGUCGGAUUAGCUAGUUGGUGGGGUAAAGGCCUACCAAGGCGACGAGCCGUAACUGGUCUGAGAGGAUGAUCAGUCACACUGGAACUGAGACAGGGCCCCGACUCCUGAGGGAGGAAGCAGUGGGGAAUAUUGGACAAGGGGCGAGAGCGUGAUCCAGCCCUGCCGCGUGUGUGCAGAAGGUCUUAGGAUUGUAAAGCACUUUAAGUUGGGAGGAAGGGCAGUAAUUUCAUAUCUUGCUGUUUUGACGUUACCAACAGAAUAAGCCCCGGCUAACUUCGUG
RNAcentral lists this ribosomal RNA (484 nucleotides) under uncultured bacterium. Its description in RNAcentral is "partial 16S ribosomal RNA". It matches the Rfam family "Bacterial small subunit ribosomal RNA", at positions 30 to 507 of the family's 1533-position model. The record is from RNAcentral.